RNAcentral lists this ribosomal RNA (498 nucleotides) under uncultured bacterium. RNAcentral describes it as "partial 16S ribosomal RNA". It matches the Rfam family "Bacterial small subunit ribosomal RNA", at positions 28 to 507 of the family's 1533-position model. The record is from RNAcentral.
GAUGAACGCUGGCGGCGUGCCUAAUACAUGCAAGUCGAGCGAACGGACGAGAAGCUUGCUUCUCUGAUGUUAGCGGCGGACGGGUGAGUAACACGUGGAUAACCUACCUAUAAGACUGGGAUAACUUCGGGAAACCGGAGCUAAUACCGGAUAAUAUUUUGAACCGCAUGGUUCAAAAGUGAAAGACGGUCUUGCUGUCACUUAUAGAUGGAUCCGCGCUGCAUUAGCUAGUUGGUAAGGUAACGGCUUACCAAGGCAACGAUGCAUAGCCGACCUGAGAGGGGGGAGCGGCAACACGGGAACUGAGACGCGGGCCAGACCCCUGGGGGAGGCACAAGUGGGGAUUCGUCGGAAGGGGGCGAAAGCUGGAGGAAGCAACGCCGGGGGGGUGAGAAGGGUCUCCGAUUGUUAAAUCUCUUUUAUGGGGGAAGAACAUAUGUGAAAGUAACUGUGCCCCCCUGGAGGGAACAUAAUAAAAAAGCCAGGGCUAACUCCGCC